RNAcentral lists this ribosomal RNA (271 nucleotides) under uncultured prokaryote. Its description in RNAcentral is "partial 16S ribosomal RNA". It matches the Rfam family "Bacterial small subunit ribosomal RNA", at positions 524 to 794 of the family's 1533-position model. The record is from RNAcentral.
UACGUAGGGUGCGAGCGUUGUCCGGAAUUAUUGGGCGUAAAGAGCUCGUAGGCGGCUUGUCACGUCGGAUGUGAAAGCCCGGGGCUUAACCCCGGGUCUGCAUUCGAUACGGGCAGGCUAGAGUUCGGUAGGGGAGAUCGGAAUUCCUGGUGUAGCGGUGAAAUGCGCAGAUAUCAGGAGGAACACCGGUGGCGAAGGCGGAUCUCUGGGCCGAUACUGACGCUGAGGAGCGAAAGCGUGGGGAGCGAACAGGAUUAGAUACCCUGGUAGU